ACAGGGGCUCUUUUUUUUUUUUUUUUUAAUCUACACUGGUAUAGAAUAGUUUCAAUGCUUUUUUAUUCACUUUUUUAUCCUGUGCUUACCAAACAGGUUCUGCCUUUGUAAAUUCUCUUUUUAAACCUAGUUUUUAAUCAAUUUAAAUGCUUUUUUCUUAGUAUCCCUUUAGUUUUUGGCCGUGUGCUUACUAAACAGGUUUUCUUUAGUAAAUUCCCCUUUUAAACCUAGUUUUUAAUGUUUUUAAUGCUUUUUUCUUAACCUAUAUUGGUAUUCAAUAGUUUCAAUGCCUUUUUAUUCACCUUUUUUCCCCUGGGCCUCCCAAACAUGUUUUACCUUUCCCUUUUUCAAUCUAGUUUUCAAUGUUAUUUAACUCUUUUCUUAAACUAGCCCUUCAAAUAUUUCCUUUUUUUUAAGUUUUAUCUUUCUGUUCUUUCAUAACCAGCCUCUUUUCUUCAAUAAGUUACCUCUCUUCUUUCAUAUUUCCUUUUUUUCCUCUAAACUUUGCUCAAACUUUCUUUUUUCCUCUUAACACUCUCUCACACUCUUUUUUCAACCUUUUUCUUUCCAUGUACCCAAGCAAAAACAUAUACAACACUUCCCCAUGUCAAACACACACACACACACGUUUUUUCAAAAUGGCCGAUGGCACCACACUUUCCUGCCAACGGAAACGGGGGAUGGGAAGGCAGGACAUACGCCCUAAAAGGGGUGUGGAAACCUGUCAAAAUUGCAUGGUGAUGAAUACUAUCGAGUCUAUUACUACUAACCUGCUGUCAGCAGAGUGGAG
Chelonoidis abingdonii (Abingdon island giant tortoise) is the source of this 790-nucleotide non-coding RNA. Lineage: Eukaryota; Metazoa; Chordata; Testudines; Testudinidae. The record is from RefSeq and is a predicted model, not a curated record.